RNAcentral lists this ribosomal RNA (1485 nucleotides) under uncultured bacterium. RNAcentral describes it as "partial 16S ribosomal RNA". It matches the Rfam family "Bacterial small subunit ribosomal RNA". The record is from RNAcentral.
AGAGUUUGAUCCUGGCUCAGGACGAACGCUGGCGGCGUGCCUAACACAUGCAAGUCGAGCGGGUCCCGCAGCAAUGUGGGAUCAGCGGCGAACGGGUGAGUAACACGUGAGUAACCUGCCCUUAAGACCGGGAUAACCUUGAGAAAUCAGGGCUAAUACCAGAUGUGGUCUAAGAAGCGCAUGUUUUUUAGAUCAAAGAGAACGCAAGAACUGCUUAAGGAGGGACUCGCGGCCUAUCAGCUUGUUGGCGGGGUAACAGCCCACCAAGGCUAAGACGGGUAGCUGGUCUGAGAGGACGGUCAGCCACAAUGGAACUGAGACACGGUCCAUACUCCUACGGGAGGCAGCAGUGAGGGAUUUUCCACAAUGGGCGAAAGCCUGAUGGAGCGACGCCGUGUGUGUGAUGAAGUCUUUCGGGACGUAAAACACUGUCAGCAGGGAAGAUAUUGACGGUACCUGCAGAGGAAGGCCCGGCUAACUACGUGCCAGCAGCCGCGGUAAUACGUAGGGGCCAAGCGUUGUCCGGAAUUACUGGGCAUAAAGAGCUCGUAGGUGGCUUUGUAAGUCAGAUGUAAAAGGUUCCAGCUCAACUGGGAUUUGGCAUUUGAUACUGCAUUGCUAGAGAGUGGUAGAGGGAAGCGGAACUUCCGGUGUAGCGGUGAAAUGCGUAGAUAUCGGAAGGAACACCAGUGGCGAAAGCGGCUUCCUGGACCAUUUCUAACACUGAGGAGCGAAAGCUAGGGGAGCAAACGGGAUUAGAUACCCCGGUAGUCCUAGCCGUAAACUAUGUUCACUAGGUGUAGGUGGUAUCAACCCCNNUAGUGCCGCAGCUAACGCGUUAAGUANACCGCCUGGGGAGUACGNCCGCAAGGCUAAAACUCAAAAGAAUUGACGGGGGCCCGCACAAGCGGUGGAGCAUGUGGUUUAAUUCGAUGCUACGCGAAGAACCUUACCUGGGCUUGACAUCCAGCGAAUCCCGCGGAAACGUGGGAGUGCCCUUUUGGGAGCGCUGAGACAGGUGCUGCAUGGCUGUCGUCAGCUCGUGUCGUGAGAUGUUGGGUUAAGUCCCGCAACGAGCGCAACCCUCAUUGCUAGUUGUCCCGGCCUCGCGUCGGGAACUCUAGCGAAACUGCCCCUGAUAAAGGGGAGGAAGGUGGGGAUGAGGUCAAGUCAUCAUGGCCCUUACGCCCAGGGCAACACACGUGCUACAAUGGUAUAUACAAAGGGAAGCAAAUCCGCAAGGUAGAGCAAAUCCCAAAAAGUAUGCCUCAGUUCGGAUUGUAGGCUGCAAUUUGCCUGCAUGAAGCUGGAAUCGCUAGUAACCGCAGAUAAGAGCGCUGCGGUGAAUACGUUCUCGGGCCUUGUACACACCGCCCGUCACACCAUGAAAGUCAAGAACACCCAAAGUCGUAAAUCCAAUCCGCCUCGGCGGAAGGUAUACGCCUAAGGUGGUAUUGAUGAUUGGGGUGAAGUCGUAACAAGGUA